GUAAGGAUGUGCAGGUACCGAAAUUCGCAUGUUCCCAAAUAAUUCGCCAAGCGCGGUAAGUGACAGCGCCACCAAGCGGUGACACGCCAUUCCCCAUCGUGCUGUCUCCCUUGCCGCUGGCCUGCGCACCGCUUGCUUUUAAUAGGUAAAUAUUCUCCAUUUUUAUCGAAUCAUCAUUCAUGAAGCAGUAGUAUUUCAAUGUAUUGGGGACUCUGGCACAAUAUAGUGAGGUAUAGGGGUAGAGUAUUUUAAUGAGACUUAGUGUAAAUUAGGAUUUUCGUCCCGUUUUCCGUUGCUAACGAAAUUUGAUGAAGGCCCUCUUGCGUUCAUAUUUAGAAAGUGUACAUGACAUGUCGCCCUGAAUCGCUGUGUUUUCAUCAUAAUUUCUGGUCAAAGCUUGUCAACUUGUUGUUCAUUUGAUUAUUUUGAGUGUGUCAACUUAAAUUACAUGUGUGUAGGUGUCUUCACUGAUUUAUAGACAUAACAUUUCUAGGUCAGGUCAUUGUAUUAAGUUGAUAAAUUCACAGAUUUUGAGUGACAUAAAUCCCAGAAUUUUGAUGAAUUGGAUUUAAUCUCUGAAAUAAUUAUUGUCUUUAGAGAAAAAUCCCUUGCUACAGUAGGUAAUUGAUCCACAGUCCUUACUUUUACUGUAUAGCAUAAUUUAUGACUGUUUAAUGGCAGACUGAAUUAAUUCCCUGUCAUCACUGUCAAUUUAGAAAUUCUGGUUUUUACAAUGAAAUUUAUGUGUUUCUUGGAGAGAUUUACAGUUAAGUUGGGUAUUGUGCUCUCACACCUCGACAACUCUUUCUCAUAAAUUAAAUGCUGUCUUAGAUAUUUCUAAUUUAUGUACAAUAGGGUCUCCCUCAGGAUUGAUGUUACAUUUUACUUAUUGGUUUUCUUUUAUUUUUCUCCCUUUUCUGUCAUUGUUUGUAAUUGUUUAAUUGAUUCCCCAUCGUGCUGUCUCCCUUGCUGCUGGCCUGCGCACCGCUUGCUUUUAAUAGAAAUAAACCAAUGGAGUGACUCGAACCCACGUGUUGGUGUGUCUAUUCAUUUAUUCACACCCAUCACUAGCCCGAGCUGGCCUCCACAUAUAUUUUGCUGUUUUUCUCACGUGGUUUUGCCUUGGUUAGCACGCCGCAUGUGCAUACACAUAUCGUGUACAUGCAUAUCGUGUAGUUUGCCCAAACAUCCCAAGGCAUAGGUACACAGGCCGCAACUGCUCCGCUACUGCUUGUGGUUCUGUGGUUCCUGAUGGUCACAAACAGAGAAGCCUUCUCGAGUAGACUACUAGUGUAUCCCUUAUCCAGCAUCCAUAAUAUUUGGGUACGUGUAUGAAACAUUAUUGUUUGAAAGGUGCCUAAGAAAUUAGAGAUUUGGAGAUUAAUGUGUUGGAAAAUUAUUGCAUAGCAAGUGCUUAUGGAGAUUAUUUCUCCUUGAUUAAUUUUUUAUGCCUUUAAUAUUUUUAUGCCUCUCGUAAGAAAUGUACUUGUAAAUUCGUAAGAGAUAACCAAGGAUAAGAAGAGAUGGUUAUUUCAAAUAAUUUAAUAAUUGAAUAUUGGAUUCAUAGUCAUUGUAUAUUUGUAAAUAAAUUAAUUUCUAUUCUUCUGUUUUCUGUUAUUACAGACUGCUGGAGAAUGACUCGUUUUUUUUGUAGUAAUAAAAUUUUGAUCCAUUUAUAGUGGAAUAU
This 1687-nucleotide long non-coding RNA is filed under the name Patiria miniata (bat star). RNAcentral describes it as "uncharacterized LOC119733645". Lineage: Eukaryota; Metazoa; Echinodermata; Asteroidea; Valvatida; Asterinidae. The record is from RNAcentral.